AUUGAACGCUGGCGGCAGGCCUAACACAUGCAAGUCGAGCGGAUGAAGGGAGCUUGCUCCUGGAUUCAGCGGCGGACGGGUGAGUAAUGCCUAGGAAUCUGCCUGGUAGUGGGGGAUAACGUCCGGAAACGGGCGCUAAUACCGCAUACGUCCUGAGGGAGAAAGUGGGGGAUCUUCGGACCUCACGCUAUUAGAUGAGCCUAGGUCGGAUUAGCUAGUUGGUGGGGUAAAGGCCUACCAAGGCGACGAUCCGUAACUGGUCUGAGAGGAUGAUCAGCCACACUGGAACUGAGACACGGUCCAGACUCCUACGGGAGGCAGCAGUGGGGAAUAUUGGACAAUGGGCGAAAGCCUGAUCCAGCCAUGCCGCGUGUGUGAAGAAGGUCUUCGGAUUGUAAAGCACUUUAAGUUGGGAGGAAGGGCAGUAAGUUAAUACCUUGCUGUUUUGACGUUACCAACAGAAUAAGCACCGGCUAACUUCGUG
RNAcentral lists this ribosomal RNA (484 nucleotides) under uncultured bacterium. Its description in RNAcentral is "partial 16S ribosomal RNA". It matches the Rfam family "Bacterial small subunit ribosomal RNA", at positions 30 to 507 of the family's 1533-position model. The record is from RNAcentral.